Long non-coding RNA from Callithrix jacchus (white-tufted-ear marmoset), 6255 nucleotides. RefSeq lists it as uncharacterized. The record is from RefSeq and is a predicted model, not a curated record. Lineage: Eukaryota; Metazoa; Chordata; Mammalia; Primates; Cebidae.
GGCUCCUGGUUCCAGGAUAUUCCCGAGGACGGUCCGACGAGGGUCACCGGAGGGUGUGACACGGUGCUCCCGCGCUCUGCUGAAAACCAAAACCAUCACCUCCUACCACUGCCACAAAGAUCCCUCCAGCAGGUGUAAGGCCGACGUGCUGUAGGGAGUUAAUUGGGGCGAGGCUAGCUGGAGAAAGAUGGGAGAGUGGGAGGGAGAGGAGGAGGGGGCGAGAGGAGGCAAGAAAGGAAGAGAGAGAGAGAGAGAGAGAGAGAGAGAGAGAGAGAGAGAGAGAGAGAGAGAGAGAGAUUGACUCUGGCUGACUGUCGGGUGGCUUUUGUUAGUUUCAGGCAGAUUUCAAGACUUGUGUCUCAAAAUGUCCUGCAAUUUUGGCUUCUGCGGCAGUUUGUGAGAUGGGGCCACAAUUCUUGAUUGAUCAGAGGAAAGUAGAGGAGAGAUGAUUCAUCUACGAGUCAACAUUGUCGAUAGCUCAAGAAUCUUGGUAUCCUCAUAACUUCCUUGGUUAUUUUGUUUGUUUCCAAAUUUGCACACCCAGGAACCAAAUCUCAAUGACCCUUUUGUUGCCGAAGGUUCAUUCUCUCUUGUUCCAUCUGUCCGCCAUAAACAUGUAUUUCUGACUGCCCCAUUCCUAAUCCAUUUCUUUCCAUUGGAAUGGGAAGAAGGAAAUGAAAAGUACUCCCAGAUGGAAACCGAAACGGCGUCAGAUCCAGAAUAGUCUUUGUUUGGAUCCAACAGCUGUCUGCCCACCACACCCUCAGUCCCCAAGUCCAAAGCGCAUCCUCGGGGUUUCAUGUGGGAAAGGGAGAAAAAAGAAACACUUCAAAAUCUGUAUUUUUACAAGCAGGAUUUCACAAUCCUUGGGAACUUUGAGACUUGAAUGGUUAAUCUUUCAGGCGAAAUUGUCACCCCAACGACUGUUUACAAGUAAGCCGAUGCAAAUGUUGAAACCGUGUUGGCAAGCUGGAUGCGCAGGUUUGUAUUUUGCCCUGAAAAGCUUCUUGGUUUCUCUCCCAGACUGCCUCGGUUCCUCCCCUCUCAGCCUCAGUGCAUUGUAUGUUGAAGGGGCGGGGGAGGGAGAGAUGGAGAAAGCUUAAGCGAUGGGAACCUUGAGGCCCAGGGAUUUCAAGGAAAGCGAAAUGAACCAGAUGUCAUAGUUGCAGGACCAGUCAUGUUGUGUGACAGACGAGAAGAGGCGGCGCCCGUCAAUCAGCAGCUCCCGUGUGCUAAUCCUCACCCCAGUGAGCUGAUUGGGUCCUCUGGAUUCUGACCACUGUGAUGGUCAAUCAUACAGCUGCUCUAUUCAGGCUCAUCAUCUCCCUAUUCUUACAGAUUAUUGCAUCAUGGCCACCAAGACAAAAAAAAAAAAAAAGAGAAGGAGGAUCAAAGUCAUCAAAGCCAUGUGUCCUGAAAGAAAUACUCAAUGUGACGGGAAUUUUUCAUCAAAUUGACUUGCUGUAAAAGACUAUUUCUAUCAAAUAGCAAUCAAAUGGUUAUGAUUAUAAGUAAUCAAAAGCUGGAUGUUUCUGUAGUGGGGGUGGUUUCUCCUCUUGUUUCUAUUCAGAAUGCAUACCAAUCUUGCCUUUUAAUUUCGAGGCCAUUUCUCUAACACUUACAAUUCUAUUACUUAUUUAAACCUCAUACUCAGAAAGCAAUGACUUCAGAAACAAUCAGUUAUUCUAUUCAUAGCAAGUUCAUCACAAUUUUUUUACUCUGAUUCUGACAUUGAUUCAAUAACUUUGUAAAAAUUAUUUGUCACCUGCCAAUUGACUUCUAUGGUAAUGAGAAUCAUCUGGCAUUUUGCUACACUUACCAAAUAACAAAGAAACAUAGUGAAAAAUCACUUAUAAUUAUCACUACAUUUAUGAAAUAUUUGUUAAUCAUUUUAAUGCUUGUGACAGUGUCAGAAGUAAUUAUUGCAAAUGUGUUGCCAAAUUGAUCUGGUGAUAAUCAAUUCUUAUUACAUAUAAUGGUAUGAAACAGUAUUUCCUGUAAAAGAGUGGUAUAACCUUUUGAAAUUGGUUUCCACGAAGAAUUUAUUUUUCAUCUCCUUAUCUUGAUAAAAAGAUAUUCCCGAGCUAAGCUAAAGUUUUGCCUAAAUCUUUCUUUCUGGUGAUAAACUGAAAUCUUACCCUGUAAUGAUAAUUUUUUUUUCUUAAAGACUUAUUUCUUGACUCUUAUCUUUUUAUUAAGAUAUAGAUGACAAAAGUUAUACAUAUAUGGUAUAUAACAUGUUUUGAUAUAAUAUGUGCUGCUAAAUAGUUAAAUCAAGCUAAUUUAUGUCACUUCACAUACUUUUGUUUUUGUAAGAACGUGUAAGAUCUAAUCUCUUAGUGACUUUAAAGUAUACAAUAUACUGUUAUUAAAUAUAGUCACCAUGCUGUCUAAUAGAUCACUCUUCUUACCCUGUCUAACUGAAACUUUGUACCCUUUGACCAACAUCUCCUCAUUGCCCCAACCCCACCUUGGCUCCUGGCAACCACCCUAUGCUUCUGUGCUUUUUUAGAUGUAUGACAUCAUGCAGUAUUUGUCGUUCUUUGUCUUUUUUUCCACAUCAUAUAAUGUCCUGCAGGUUCAUGUAUGCUGUCCUAAAAAUAAGAUUUCUUUUUUUUUAAAGGCUGAAUAGUAUUUCAUUGUACAUAUAGACCAUUCAUCCAUUGAUGAACACUUAGGUAGUUUGUAUAUCUUGGAUAUUUGAAUUAUGCUUCAGCCAACAUGGGAGUGCAAAUAUAUCUUCAACAUACUGAUUUCAUUUCUUCUGAAUACAUAUCCAAAAAUGAGAUCGUGGAUCACAUAAUAGCUCUGUUUUCAAAUUUUUGAAGAACCUCCCUAGUAUUUUCCACAAUGGCUGUACUAAUUUACAUUUCCACCAACAGGGUACAAGGAUUCCCUUCUCUUUUAUCUUCUAUCUUUUUCCUAAUAGUCAUUCUAACAGGUGUGAAGUAAUAUCUCAUUGUGGUUUUAAUUUGCAUUUCCCUGAUGAUUGGUGAUGUUCAGCAUUUUCUCAUAUACCUUCUGGCCAUUUGUCUUCUUUUGAAAAAUAUCCAUUGAGAUCCUUUACCAGUUUUUAAAUCAGGUUACUUGUUUUCUUUCUAUUGAGUCAUUUGAAUUUCUUAUGUAUUUUUCAUAUUAUCCCCUUAUCAGAUGUAUGGUUUGCAAAUGUUUUCAUACAUCCCAUAGGUGAUCCCUUAAAUCAGUUUAUUGUUUCCUUUGCUAUGCAGAAGCUUUUUAAUUUGUUGUAAUCCCAUUUGUCUAUUUUUGCCUUUAUAUCCUGUGCUUUUGGGGUCACAUUUAAAAAAAUCUGUGCCCAGAAAAAUGUCAUGGAGCUAUUCUCCUGUGUUUUUUCUUUUUCGGUAGUUUGACAAUUUCUAGUUUGAUAUUUAUGUCUUUCAUCAUUUUGAGUUAGUUUUUGUAUGUAUUGUGAAAUAUGGAUGGAUUUCGUUCUUCUGCAUGCGGAUUUCCAUUAUUCCCAUCAUUAUUACUGAAGACAUUGCCCUUUCCUCCAUUGUGUAUUCUUGGCACCUUCGCUAAGAUCAUUUGACUGUAAAUGCAUGAAUUUACUUCUGGGCUCUCUAUUCUGUUGCAUUGGUCUAUGAGUCUGUUUUUAUGCCAGUACUAUGUUGUUUUGAUACUAUUGCCUUGUAGUAUGUUUUGAAAUCAGGCAGUGUGUGGUCUGCAGCUUUAUUCUUUCAUCUGAAGACUGCUUUGGCUAUUUGGGAUCUUUUGUGGUUCUAUAUGAAUUUUGUAUUCCUUUUCUAUUUUUGUGGAAAAAUCACUAGAAUUUUGAUAGGAAUUACAUUGCGUCUGUAGAUUACUUUGGAUGGUACAGACAUUUUUCUUUAUUUUUUUAAUUUUUAAUUUUUGUGAGUUCAUAGUAAGUGUAUAUAUUUCGGGGGUGCACGAAAUAUUUUGAUACAGGCAUGCAAUGUGUACUAAUCACUCUAUGGAAAACAGAAUAUUCACUUCCUUAAGCAUCUAUCCUUUGUGUUACAAACAGGUCACUUUGUAAAUAACUAAAUAACCUUUAGUUAUUUUUAAAUGUAUAACAAUUAUUAUUGACUAUAGUCACCCUAUUGUGCUAUGAAAUGCUAGGUCUUCUUAAUUCUUUAUAGCUAGUAUUUUAUACUCAUUAACAAUAUCCACUUCCCUGCAUCCACUACCCUUUCCAACCUCUGUGAACCAUCCUUCUAUACUCUAUCUCUGUAUGUUCAAUUGUUUUGAUUUUUAGAUCCCACAAAUAAUUUGUCUUCCUGUGCCUGGCAGUGCAGACAUUUUAACAAUAUUAAUUCUUCCAAUCCAUGGAUAUAGGAUAUCUUUCCUUUAUUUGUAUCUUCAUCAAAUAUUUAAUCAAGGUUUAAAGUUUUCAUUAUACAGCUAUUUCUCCACCUUAGUUAAAUUUAUCUGCAUUUUUGUGAAGCUAUUGUAAAUAGCAUUUUUAAAAUGUCUCUUUUGGGUAGUUCAUUGGUAAUACACAGAAACAUUAAAAUCAAAUACACUAUUAAUUUUGUAUUGUACAACUUCACUGAAUUUGUUAAUUAGUUCUAACCACUUUAUUGGUAGAGCAUUAAGGUUUUCUACAUAUAAAAUUAUAUCAUCUGCAAACAGAGACAACUUUACUUCUUUUCAAUUUGGAGCAUUUUGCUUCUUUUUCUUGCCUAUUUGCUCUGGCUAGAACUUUCAGUACUUUAUUAAAUAGAAGUGGUAAGAUUGGGCAUCCCCAUCUUGUUCCUUAUCUUAGAGGAAAAGCUUUCAGCUUUUCACCAUUGAGUAUAAUGUUCACUGUGGGCUUGUCAUAAAUGGCCUUUGUUAUGCUGAGAUACAUUCCUUCUACAACUAAUUUGCUAACAAUUUUUGUGAUGAAAGGAUGUUGAGUUUUGUCAAAUGUUUUUUCUGCGUCUAUUAAGACAAUUAUAGGUUUUUUCUUUAUUCCAUCAAUAUGAUGUAAUCAUACUUUUUGAUUUGCAUAUAUUAAAAUAUCUUUACAUCCCAGAGAAAAAUCCCACUUGAUCAUGAUGUGCAAUCCUUUUACGUGCUGUUGAAUUCAGUUUGCUAAUAUUUUGUUGAGGAUUUUUGCAUUGAUGAUGCCCAUCAGAAAUAUUGACCUGUAAUUUUCUUUUCUUCCAGUAUUUUUGUCUGGUUUUGAUAUCAGGGUAAUAAAGGUCUAAUAUAAUGAGUUUGUAAGUGUACCCUUUUUUUUAAUUUUUUGGAUGAGUUUUAGAAGGAUCGAUGUUACUUCUUUAACUGUUUGCUGGAAUUCACCAGUGAAGCCAUGGAUUCUGGGGCUUUUCUUUUUGGGAGGUUUUUGAUCACUUAAUUCCUUUACUCAUCAUUGGUCUGUUAAUAUUUUCUUUUUCUUCAUGAUUCAGUCUUGGCAGCCUGUGUUUCUAGAAAUUUAUGCAUUUCUUUUAAAUUAUCCAAUUUACAGGCAUAUAGUUAUUCAUAGUUGAUUAUAGCCUCUUAUGCUCUUUUAUAUUUAUGUGGAAUCCGUUGAAUUGUCUUCUUUAAUUUUUUAUCUUAUUUCUUUGAAUCUUCUCUCUUGUUUCUUAGUUUAGCUAAAGUCUUGCUAAUUUUGUUCAUAUUUUAAGAAAACACACUCAGUUUUAUUUAUCUAUUAUUUUUCUAGUCACCAUUUAAUUUAUUUCUGUGCUCUGAUAUUUAUUAUUAUGUUUUCUUUCCUGUGAAUUUGGGCUUGGUUGUUUUUUUUUUUUUUCUGGUUCCUUAAGGUGUAAAGGUAGGUUGUUUAUUUAAGAUCUUUUUACUCUUUUAAUAUGGUCAUUUAUUGCUGUAGAUUUCCUUCUUAGAUCUGCUUCGCUGCACCCCUUGAGUUUUGAUAUGCUGUGUUUCCAUUUUCAUUUGUCUCAAAAAAUUUUUUGUUUCCUUUUUGGUUUUAUUUUUUAAUCCACUGGAUAUUAAAGGCUAUGUAAUUUAAUUUUCGCAAAGGUAAUAUUCAAACACAAGGCAAAAUUUUAUUAUCCAAUUUCUCAAUGAUACAUUUCAUCAUAAUUGCAAUUUCUGAUGAGAAAACUUGGAAAAUAACUUUCUGUAAAGAAUAAUUAAAGAAAAUGAAUAUUAAUUAAGAUUGUGAUUUAUUCAUAGUCAGUUUGCUUUGUCUUCCCUUUAUGUCUCUUUCUUUAGGAAGCUGUGCUUCAUGUUGCAAAGGAGCUUGUAAAUUAUGGAAUUUAUAGAACAUACAGAAUCUACAAAUAAAAUGGUUUGUUGUUUGUUUUGGUUUUACAGAUUUACAAUAAA